UGGGGGAUAUUGCACAAUGGGCGAAAGCCUGAUGCAGCGACGCCGCGUGGGGGAUGAAGGCUUUCGGUUUGUAAACCUCUUUCGCUAUCGAACAAGGCCCGCUUAGGGUGGGUUGAGGGUAGGUGGAGAAGAAGCGCCGGCUAACUACGUGCCAGCAGCCGCGGUAAUACGUAGGGCGCGAGCGUUGUCCGGAAUUAUUUGGCGUAAAGGGCUUGUAGGCGGCUUGGUGCGCCUGCUGUGAAAACGCGGGGCUUAACUUCGCGCGUGCAGUGGGUACGGGCAGGCUUGAGUGUUGUAGGAGUGACUGGAAUUCCAGGUGUAGCGGUGGAAUGCGCAGAUAUCUGGAGGAACACCGAUGGCGAAGGCAGGUCACUGGGCCAUUACUGACGCUGAGGAGCGAAAGCAUGGGUAGCGAACAGG
Molecule: ribosomal RNA, 420 nt
Filed under: bacterium
Lineage: Bacteria
Description: partial 16S ribosomal RNA
Rfam family: Bacterial small subunit ribosomal RNA
Source: RNAcentral